Molecule: small RNA, 77 nt
Filed under: Bombyx mori (domestic silkworm)
Lineage: Eukaryota; Metazoa; Arthropoda; Insecta; Lepidoptera; Bombycidae
Description: Bm_182
Source: RNAcentral
AAUCAAAACAAGCUGAUUACGAAAUACGUACGUGUUUACGAUAGAUAAUGUACUCGUAGUGCUUCCAGCGACUUUUU